Molecule: long non-coding RNA, 456 nt
Organism: Arachis duranensis
Lineage: Eukaryota; Viridiplantae; Streptophyta; Magnoliopsida; Fabales; Fabaceae
Exons: 2
Source: RefSeq, a predicted model, not a curated record
AUGAUGUUGUAUAUUUAAUUUCUAAUAAGGUAUGAAGUUCUUCAGUAAAAUUGGUUUUGCUGUUGAAGAGCAGCUAAUGACAGGGGAAAAUGUAUUGAAGUUGAUGGAAUCAUCCCUAGCUAGAAGGGCAAUGCAAAUUAUGAUGCUACAAAGUUUAUUGAGCUUGCUUCUUCUAAUUGAUGUUACACCCCCUACAAAAGCAGAAAGAGUUUUAUGUUUCUAGGAAUUUCGAGAAAAAAAAAAUGAAGAAAAAGCUGAAAGAGAUCAGAGAUGAUGUGGCUGCAGCUUUCACAGACCAAGGAGUGCCAUUUUUGUUGUGUCUAAGAUGAAUAUUUGAUUUUUGAAGAUCAAUGUUCAGAUAUGUUCUCUUCUUAUUUUUAAACAUGUAAUUCCAAAGUCAUGAGUCCAUGACUGUGUUUGACUAUGCUUUUAUAUUUCCAAUAAUCGAAUUUAUCA